This 1467-nucleotide long non-coding RNA is filed under the name Monodelphis domestica (gray short-tailed opossum). RNAcentral describes it as "lncRNA (ENSMODG00000046992.1)". The record is from RNAcentral. Lineage: Eukaryota; Metazoa; Chordata; Mammalia; Didelphimorphia; Didelphidae.
AGCUUUUCAUAAUGGAGGGGAAGAUGGAGGAGAUGGGGAGAGGAGCACAUGAACCUUACUCUUAUAGGAAUUGGCUCAAUGAGAGAACAUACACAAUAGAGUAUAGAAAUUGAUCUUACUGGGUUCAGAACAAGGACACAUAUGAUACCCAGUGGAAUUGCAUGUCAGCUAUCAUUGGUUAGGGGAGGAGUGGUGGGAGGGGAGGGAGGAAAAGAAAAUGAUUUUUGUAUUCAAUGAAUAAUGUUUGAAAUUGACGAAAUAAAAUGUUUAAAUUGGAAAAAAAUAAGAAAUCGAUCUUACCCUACAGUAAAGUAGAAGAGGAAGGGAAUAAGAGAACAGGGUGGGGGCUGAUAGGAAAGAGGGCAUAUUGAGAGAGGUGGUGGCCAGAAACUAAACAGGCAGAAAUACAGUGGAGAAUAAUAAUACAGUAAUAGAACAGCAAUCAUAACUGCAAAAAAAAAUUUACAAGUCUCUCUAAUAAAGGCCUCCUUUCUCAAAUAUAUAGAGAAAUUAGUUGAAUGUAUAAGAAUACAAGUUAUUCUCUAAUAGAUAAGUGGACAAAGGAUAUUAACAGGAAGUUCUCAAACAAAGUAAUUAAAGCUAUCUAUAGUCAUACAAAAAAUGCUCUAAAUCACUAUUAAUUAGAGAAAUGCAAAUUAAAACAACUCUGAGAUAGCACUUCUGUAGUAAGGGAUUUUGCAAGCUGACAGCAAGAGAUCCUGGAGACCAACAUUCCACACAGAACUCUCAGAAGCUGGGGAACUGAAACACACAGGCAGUUGCUGGACACAGUUGGUGAAUUCUGGAAAGAUGGAGAGUCUGCUGUUUUUCUCUAGCAGUUAGGAAAAGUCCAGAGAUUUUCUGUUUGGUAUUUCUGGGGUGGACCCAAAGAGCCAGUGAUUCCCUCUUCUUUGACUUUCUUGAUAUUCUGGCUGUUCCUGCCUGUUGCUGCUACAGAGAAGUGGAUUUCAACAAUACCGAUCUCUCCCAUCUGCAAAAUGGACAUAAUAAACCCCGUGGAUCACCCUCACUGCAGUUGAGUAAGGAAAAGUGCUAUCUGAACUGUUACUUCACUCAAUUCUGGAUUCAAACUACUAUAUUCAAAGUGAUUUUAAUAACAAUUUAAAAAAUUAAAUAAGUUAAUUUAACAAUUUCAGUUGAAUAAUUAAAUACAUUUUUAUUUUACUGAUGAUUUUAGUAAUUUUUAUUUAAUAAUAAGAGCUAACAUAUAUUUAGCACCUACUACAUAUUAGGCAUUGUGCUGAGUGCUUUACAAAUAUUUUCUUAUCUGAUCCUUACAACAAUCCUGGAAGGUAGGUGCUAUUAUUAUCCUGAUUUUAGAGUUGAAGAAACUGAGGCAGGCAGGCAUAACACAACUAGUAAGCAUGUGAGGUCACUUCUUUGUCACUGUUCUGUUUUAAUUGCCCCUAAAAUAAAGGCAUAACAUUACCUGGAAAAUGCUAUCUG